This 500-nucleotide ribosomal RNA is filed under the name uncultured bacterium. RNAcentral describes it as "partial 16S ribosomal RNA". It matches the Rfam family "Bacterial small subunit ribosomal RNA", at positions 30 to 523 of the family's 1533-position model. The record is from RNAcentral.
AUUGAACGCUGGCGGAAUGCUUUACACAUGCAAGUCGAACGGCAGCACGGACUUCGGUCUGGUGGCGAGUGGCGAACGGGUGAGUAAUGUAUCGGAACGUGCCCAGUCGUGGGGGAUAACGUAGUGAAAAUUACGCUAAUACCGCAUACGAUCUAUGGAUGAAAGCGGGGGACCACAAGACCUCGCGCGAUUGGAGCGGCCGAUAUCAGAUUAGGUAGUUUGUGGGGUAAAGGCCCACCAAGCCAACGAUCUGUAGCUGGUCUGAGAGGACGGCCAGCCACACUGGAACUGAGACACGGUCCAGACUCCUACGGGAGGCAGCAGUGGGGAAUUUUGGACAAUGGGCGAAAGCCUGAUCCAGCCAUUCCGCGUGCAGGAUGAAGGCCCUCGGGUUGUAAACUGCUUUUGUACAGAACGAAAAGGUUUCUACUAAUACUAGGAGCUCAUGACGGUACUGUAAGAAUAAGCACCGGCUAACUACGUGCCAGCAGCCGCGGUAA